This 484-nucleotide ribosomal RNA is filed under the name uncultured bacterium. RNAcentral describes it as "partial 16S ribosomal RNA". It matches the Rfam family "Bacterial small subunit ribosomal RNA", at positions 29 to 507 of the family's 1533-position model. The record is from RNAcentral.
AUUGAACGCUGGCGGCAGGCCUAACACAUGCAAGUCGAGCGGAUGAAGGGAGCUUGCUCCUGGAUUCAGCGGCGGACGGGUGAGUAAUGCCUAGGAAUCUGCCUGGUAGUGGGGGAUAACGUCCGGAAACGGGCGCUAAUACCGCAUACGUCCUGAGGGAGAAAGUGGGGGAUCUUCGGACCUCACGCUAUCAGAUGAGCCUAGGUCGGAUUAGCUAGUUGGUGGGGUAAAGGCCUACCAAGGCGACGAUCCGUAACUGGUCUGAGAGGAUGAUCAGUCACACUGGAAAUGAGACACGGUCCAGACUCCUAGGGGAGGAAGAGGUGGGGAAUAUGGAACAAGGGGGAAAAGCCUAACCCAGCAAGGCGGGGUGGGUAAAAAGGUUCUUGGGAUUAAAAAGCACUUAAGGUGGGGAGGAGGGGAAGAAAUUAAAAACUUGGUUUUUUUAACUUAACAAAAAGAAAAAGACCAGGAAAACUUCGGG